RNAcentral lists this ribosomal RNA (108 nucleotides) under Streptococcus sp. DD10. Lineage: Bacteria; Bacillati; Bacillota; Bacilli; Lactobacillales; Streptococcaceae. The record is from RNAcentral.
GUUAAGUGACGAUAGCCUAGGAGAUACACCUGUACCCAUACCGAACACAGUAGUUAAGCCCUAGAACGCCGGAAGUAGUUGGGGGUUGCCCCCUGUGAGAUAUGGAAG